UAGGGAAUCUUCGGCAAUGGACGAAAGUCUGACCGAGCAACGCCGCGUGAGUGAAGAAGGUUUUCGGAUCGUAAAACUCUGUUGUUAGAGAAGAACAAGGACGUUAGUAACUGAACGUCCCCUGACGGUAUCUAACCAGAAAGCCACGGCUAACUACGUGCCAGCAGCCGCGGUAAUACUUAGGUGGCAAGCGUUGUCCGGAUUUAUUGGUCGUAAAGCGAGCGCAGGCGGUUUCUUAAGUCUGAUGUGAAAGCCCCCGGCUCAACCGGGGAGGGUCAUUGGAAACUGGGAGACUUGAGUGCAGAAGAGGAGAGUGGAAUUCCAUGUGUAGCGGUGAAAUGCGUAGAUAUAUGGAGGAACACCAGUGGCGAAGGCGGCUCUCUGGUCUGUAACUGACGCUGAGGCUCGAAAGCGUGGGGAGCAAACAGG
This 429-nucleotide ribosomal RNA is filed under the name Gemmatimonadota bacterium. RNAcentral's name for it is "Gemmatimonadetes bacterium partial 16S ribosomal RNA". It matches the Rfam family "Bacterial small subunit ribosomal RNA", at positions 355 to 776 of the family's 1533-position model. The record is from RNAcentral. Lineage: Bacteria; Pseudomonadati; Gemmatimonadota.